Molecule: ribosomal RNA, 649 nt
Filed under: Filobasidium wieringae
Lineage: Eukaryota; Fungi; Basidiomycota; Tremellomycetes; Filobasidiales; Filobasidiaceae
Description: LSU rRNA
Rfam family: Eukaryotic large subunit ribosomal RNA
Source: RNAcentral
CCCGCUGAACUUAAGCAUAUCAAUAAGCGGAGGAAAAGAAACUAACAAGGAUUCCCCUAGUAACGGCGAGUGAAGCGGGAAGAGCUCAAAUUUGAAAUCUGGUGGCCUCAGGUCAUCCGAGUUGUAAUCUAUAGAAACGUUUUCCGUGCUGGCUCAUGUACAAGUCCCUUGGAACAGGGCGUCAUAGAGGGUGAGAAUCCCGUCCUUGACAUGAACUACCAGUGCUCUGUGAUACGUUUUCAACGAGUCGAGUUGUUUGGGAAUGCAGCUCAAAAUGGGUGGUAAAUUCCAUCUAAAGCUAAAUAUUGGCGAGAGACCGAUAGCGAACAAGUACCGUGAGGGAAAGAUGAAAAGCACUUUGGAAAGAGAGUUAAACAGUAUGUGAAAUUGUUAAAAGGGAAACGAUUGAAGUCAGUCGUGCUCUUUGGAUUCAGCCGGUUCUGCCGGUGUACUUCCAUUGAGUGGGGUCAACAUCAGUUUUGAUCGCUGGAUAAAGGCAGGAAGAAUGUAGCACCUCCGGGUGAACUUAUAGCUUUCUGUCACAUACAGUGGUUGGGACUGAGGAACGCAGCAUGCCUUUAUGGCCGGGAUUCGUCCACGUACAUGCUUAGGAUGUUGACAUAAUGGCUUUAAACGACCCGUCUUGAAA